UAAAUAUUUUUGUUAAUUGUCCUCAUAAAUUAACCAAAUUUGAAACCUAAAGACCACUAAUUCUGUAACUGAUUUCUUGCACUGUCUAAAGUUAAAUUUGGAAGCUCUUGACCAAAAGAUUAAAGAGGAGUAUAUUUUUGGCAGUAAUAUAUUGGAUAAACAGUUCCAAUUUGGCAAAAAUAUACUUUAAGCGGAGCAUUAUAAAGACCUCUAGAAAUGAUACUAGACAAAUUAGCUGGGUCUAACAUAAUGCUAAUGAACCCUCAAACAAGUAGAGUUCAGCUUCAACAAGUUCACUCAAAUUGUUGCGCAAGUGUAGAAUGUAAUUGAUGAAGCAAACCAUCUUCAUUGAGAUUUAAUGCCUGGUGCCACUCUUGUGUCUCAUCCAUUGCUGGCAAGGUAGCAGGGGUUCCAGUAGAUGGGGUAUCAUCCAUUGCCCACUUGACUGAUUGUUAUCGAAACACCACUAAUGAGCAUCAUCUAUGAACAUCCAUCGACACUAUAGAACUUGAACCACAGUAUUGGAGCACAAACUUCAACAUUUGUAAAUGAGGAAAAGACCAACAUAUAUUGCCAUGAAGAUGAGAGCCAAUAUAGAUUGUAGCAUCUUGGAAAUCCAAUCUAAAAGUUGAAAAUAAAUUGAUUAUAAUAGCUAGAGCUGUUAAAAACAAAUCACCCAAACAAAUACAAAAAAAUAAUAAUAAUGAAGGAAAUUGAGAACUUACAAGCAGUGAGAGGGGAAGCAUUAAUCAGGUAAUAAUUUCACAUGACUUUCUUUUACUAUCUCUCAAACAUGUCUAAAUCACACUUAAAACGUGACAACUGACAAACAACACAAGUAAGUUUUCUUCCAUCUUUAUCCAUUGUACAUUCAUUAAUCUUAUCUUAUUCAUAUAUUUUAGUAUAUCUUUUCCCAAC
Molecule: long non-coding RNA, 918 nt
Filed under: Lupinus angustifolius (narrow-leaved blue lupine)
Lineage: Eukaryota; Viridiplantae; Streptophyta; Magnoliopsida; Fabales; Fabaceae
Description: long non-coding RNA (LANG_LNC001183)
Source: RNAcentral